GGGUGGAAUUUUGGGUUUUUAAAUGCAGAUUUGAGAUAUUCGUGUUUAGGAAGAUCAAGAACUGAGAAUGGAAGGAGUUUUUCUGUACAGUCUAGUUUGGUGGCUAGUCCAGCUGGAGAAAUGGCUGUGUCAUCAGAAAAAAAAGUGUAUGAGGUGGUAUUGAAGCAGGCAGCUUUAGUGAAGAGGCAUCUGAUAUCUACUGAUGACAUACAAGUGAAGCCGGAUAUUGUUCUUCCG
RNAcentral lists this unclassified non-coding RNA (237 nucleotides) under Hevea brasiliensis (rubber tree). Lineage: Eukaryota; Viridiplantae; Streptophyta; Magnoliopsida; Malpighiales; Euphorbiaceae. The record is from RNAcentral.